UCUCCCGUGAGGGAGAAUCUGAAGGAAGUCUAAAGCAAAGUGCUGAACUGAUGCACAAGAACCAGCUAUAAGGCUGUGCGUCAUGGAUAAGGUUGCUAAACAAACCAAAGUCCGAUACCGCCCAAAAUGACGAGCAGUAGAGUUGGCAGUUACAUGGCACGAAGGUUAUCGCU
Non-coding RNA from Sporolactobacillus inulinus CASD, 173 nucleotides. The record is from Rfam. NCBI's taxonomy places the organism in Bacteria, Bacillati, Bacillota, Bacilli, Caryophanales, Sporolactobacillaceae.